This 88-nucleotide transfer RNA is filed under the name Methylacidimicrobium sp. AP8. RNAcentral's name for it is "tRNA-Ser". It matches the Rfam family "tRNA". From Rfam's summary of the family: Transfer RNA (tRNA) molecules are approximately 80 nucleotides in length. Their secondary structure includes four short double-helical elements and three loops (D, anti-codon, and T loops). Further hydrogen bonds mediate the characteristic L-shaped molecular structure. tRNAs have two regions of fundamental functional importance: the anti-codon, which is responsible for specific mRNA codon recognition, and the 3' end, to which the tRNAs corresponding amino acid is attached (by aminoacyl-tRNA synthetases). tRNAs cope with the degeneracy of the genetic code in two manners: having more than one tRNA (with a specific anti-codon) for a particular amino acid; and 'wobble' base-pairing, i.e. permitting non-standard base-pairing at the 3rd anti-codon position. The record is from RNAcentral. Lineage: Bacteria; Pseudomonadati; Verrucomicrobiota.
GGACAGGUGGCAGAGGGGUUGAAUGCGGCGGUCUUGAAAACCGCUAGCCUGCAAGGGCUCGUGGGUUCGAAUCCCACCCUGUCCGCCG